Long non-coding RNA from Brassica rapa (field mustard), 1297 nucleotides. RefSeq lists it as uncharacterized. The record is from RefSeq and is a predicted model, not a curated record. Lineage: Eukaryota; Viridiplantae; Streptophyta; Magnoliopsida; Brassicales; Brassicaceae.
CUAUAAGACAAUUGACCAUCUCCAAUAUCUAGAACUUUCAGAUAAGGGAAUGAGGGUACUUCGGACAAAAAUCAAGAUGUUCGAUGUAAACCAGCUCUUUUGAGAUUCUUACCCACAUGAUUUUUCUUUCUCUCUAUAGGAUCUUUAGUUUCAGUUUGUCUAAAUCUGCCUUCUUCUUCCUCUGUAAUGCAAAGAGAUGACUCGCUCAAGGAUCCAACACCCUCCUCGUCCGUGAUGAUGAGACGACACCAUUCUGGACGUGUUUUCUCCAUCUCCUCCUGGUCCAUCAUUCUUCUUGUUGUCCAUGUCCUUGGAACCCGAUACAGGUCCAGAUACGAAAGACAUCAAUCAAUUCAACUCGCUUCUCCCUCAAGCCUUGAGACUCCAAGUGUCAAAAUAUCGGUGCAUGUCCCUCUUCCCACUCCUUAAUCCAUAUUUUAUAACCAGAAAAGGUGGUGGAUAGAUAUAAUUUACAAUCGCUGGUGAUUUCAAAACAUCAGGGUCUGGAACAUUGAAGCAUAACUGAUUGAUUUUGGUGAAACGCAACUGGAGAGAAAAAUUGAUAUUGGCAUAAGGUGCUUACCAUAACAUCAUAGAUGAAACAAAUGAAAGUCCUUUGAAGGAGAGCGUAACCAGCGAGACCCAUUUCACUGUUGUGACCCAAGAAAGCUUGAGCUACCACUACGCAGCCAAACGACAUCACUCUGAACAAAGACGAUGUUAUGAGCAAGAGAUUUUACCUGAUUGCUUCACACAGUAUUCAACAGGGAGCUUCUCUUAACUAUGUGUCCAUGCCUCUUUAUGUUUCAAGUACAUGGACGGCACCAGAUUGAAAGAAAUGUUAAACAAUAACAUGAGAUGUGCACAAGUGUGUAAAUUCAACGGUAGAGUUCGUGAGUAUUGUUUGUCAUAACAUGCUUGUAUAGUGGAGUAAGUGUCUUUGGUACGUGUAAAUUCAUUAGUUUAUCUUGAUGAAUAAGACUUGGAAAUGUUAAUGUCAAAAUGUCUCCAAGUACAAUGGAAUAAAACUUGGAGACAUCUUGGAUCCAAUUUCUUAGGAGAACUGGUGCCAAUAGGUGUGAUAGGAAGCUUAAGUUUAGUUGUAAAGAAUAUGUUUGUAUAGACCAAUAUGACAUAUCGUUUUGCACAGGUAUGGUAAUAAGCUUGAGUUUAAUUAUCGAGACUAUGCUUGUAUAGAGCAAUAUGACAUUAUUUUGAACCGAAAGACAUAUUGUCAUGAACAAACGUAACUACAAUAUAAUGUCAUUCUACUUAAUUGGGAAACGUUUUGUUUAUA